AUGGGUAGUCUCGUGAAUCUCCAUUAUUUGGAUAAGGAGACAUUUAUGAAUGGCAAUGACGAUGAAGGGGAAGAACACAUGGUAUUUGAGUAUAGCUCAACCUAUGAGGAUGUAGUUGUGAAAGUUAGAAGUGUGUUACAUUGGAUGGACCCAAGUGAUGAGGUUAAACUUAUUAGAAGGUAUGAUGUUGGAGUGGGGGUGAAGUCUCGGUUGAAGAGUAUGCCUAUCACCUCGGAAUUGCAUUGGAAGGUGUACAAGGGUAAAGUAGAGCAAUCACAAGACAACUCACUUGAAUUAUUUGCCAGCAAGGUUGAUGCUCCUCUACUACAAAUUGACUUGAACCGGCAUGCCUCCUCCCCAAUACAUGAUGCUAGGGUUGAGGUGUAUGUCCCCAAUUCUUAUAGCCAACCACCAAGUAGUCAA
This 423-nucleotide ribosomal RNA is filed under the name Triticum aestivum (bread wheat). Its description in RNAcentral is "partial small subunit ribosomal RNA". Lineage: Eukaryota; Viridiplantae; Streptophyta; Magnoliopsida; Poales; Poaceae. The record is from RNAcentral.